This 248-nucleotide unclassified non-coding RNA is filed under the name Hevea brasiliensis (rubber tree). The record is from RNAcentral. Lineage: Eukaryota; Viridiplantae; Streptophyta; Magnoliopsida; Malpighiales; Euphorbiaceae.
GGUAAAUACAAUUUGAAAGAUUGAUUGGGCACCACCUAAAGUUGUUUAACCCCUUUGAAUUUCUUUCUAUCAAUUUGCAAAACUAUAAAAUUUUGGGAUUUAGACAAUUUUGAGUGGGCCUUCUGCCCAACUAUUUAGAUCAUAUUCCCAAGCUGCUUAGCCAUGUCAGCAUGCCAAUUUAGUGCCAGCUCGACAUAAAUACACCUCAUGGUGUGAUUCUGAUCCUAUAUACAGUUUUUCGAGAAAAG